This 342-nucleotide ribosomal RNA is filed under the name uncultured bacterium. RNAcentral describes it as "partial 16S ribosomal RNA". It matches the Rfam family "Bacterial small subunit ribosomal RNA", at positions 338 to 696 of the family's 1533-position model. The record is from RNAcentral.
CCUACGGGUGGCAGCAGUGGGGGAUAUUGCACAAUGGGGGGAACCCUGAUGCAGCGACGCCGCGUGGGUGAAGGAGUAUUUCGGUAUGUAAAGCCCUAUCGGCAGGGAAGAAUUUAGACGGUACCUGACUAAGAAGCCCCGGCUAACUACGUGCCAGCAGCCGCGGUAAUACGUAGGGGGCAAGCGUUAUCCGGAUUCACUGGGUGUAAAGGGAGCGUAGACGGGAAGGCAAGCCUGGAGUGAAAGCCCGGGGCCGCACCCCGGGACUGCUGGGGGAACUGGCGGGCGGGAGGGGGGGAGGGGGAGGCGGAAGUCGUGGUGGAGCGGUGAAAGGGAUAGAUA